UUCGGUGACCACAGCGGUGGGGAAACGCCCGGCAACAUCCCGAACCCGGAAGCUAAGCCUGCCAGCGCCGAUGGUACUGCGAGGGGGACCUCGUGGGAGAGUAGGUCGUCGCCGAUCUAU
Molecule: ribosomal RNA, 120 nt
Filed under: Streptomyces leeuwenhoekii
Lineage: Bacteria; Bacillati; Actinomycetota; Actinomycetes; Kitasatosporales; Streptomycetaceae
Source: RNAcentral